AUUGAACGCUGGCGGCAUGCCUUACACAUGCAAGUCGAACGGCAGCACGGGGGCAACCCUGGUGGCGAGUGGCGAACGGGUGAGUAAUGCAUCGGAACGUGUCCUCUUGUGGGGGAUAACCAGUCGAAAGAUUGGCUAAUACCGCAUGAGAUCGAAAGAUGAAAGCGGGGAGCCGCAAGGCCUCGCGCGAGAGGAGCGGCCGAUGCCGGAUUAGCUAGUUGGUGGGGUAAUGGCCCACCAAGGCGACGAUCCGUAGCUGGUCUGAGAGGACGACCAGCCACACUGGGGAACUGAGACACGGCCCCAGACUCCUACGGGAGGCAGCAGUGGGGAAUUUUGGACAAUGGGCGCAAGCCUGAUCCAGCCAUGCCGCGUGUGUGAAGAAGGCCUCGGGUUGUAAAGCACUUUCGGACGGAACGAAAUCGCGCGCAUGAACAAUGCGCGUGGAUGACGGUACCGUAAGAAGAAGCACCGGCUAACUACGUGCCAGCAGCCGCGGUAAUACGUAGGGUGCAAGCGUUAAUCGGAAUUACUGGGCGUAAAGGGUGCGCAGGCGGCCUCGCAUGUCAGGCGUGAAAUCCCGGCGUCACCUGGGAAUGCGCUUGAAACUACGGGGCUGGAGUGUGGCAGAGGGAGGUGGAAUUCCACGUGUAGCGGUGAAAUGCGUAGAGAUGUGGAGGAACACCGAU
RNAcentral lists this ribosomal RNA (689 nucleotides) under uncultured bacterium. Its description in RNAcentral is "bacterial SSU rRNA". It matches the Rfam family "Bacterial small subunit ribosomal RNA", at positions 28 to 713 of the family's 1533-position model. The record is from RNAcentral.